Molecule: ribosomal RNA, 497 nt
Filed under: uncultured bacterium
Lineage: Bacteria
Description: partial 16S ribosomal RNA
Rfam family: Bacterial small subunit ribosomal RNA
Source: RNAcentral
GAUGAACGCUGGCGGCGUGCCUAACACAUGCAAGUCGAGCGAACAGACGAGGAUCUCGCCUCUCUGCAGUGAGGGGCGGAUGGGUGAGGAACACGAGGAUGACCUGCCGAUAGGGAUGAGAUAAGUAAACGAGAGCGGAGACCACAUCGGAUCAUAUAUUGAACCGCAUGGUUCUAUGGAGAAAGACGGUUCAGCUGACACUUGUAGAUGGUUGCACGGCGGAUGAGCUAGUUGGUAGGGUAACGGCUUACCAAGGCUACGAUGCGUAGCCGACCUGAGAGGGUGAUCAGGCACACUGGAACUGAGACACGGUCCAGACUCCUACGGGAGGCAGCAGUGGGGAAUAUUGGACAAUGGGCGAAAGCCUGAUCGAGCAACGCCGCGUGUGUGAUGAAGGUCUUCGGAUUGUAAAACUCUGUUAGUUGGGAGGAAGAGCAGUAUGAGAAAACAUGGAUGUCUUGACGGUACCUACAGAAGAAGCCACGGCUAACUACGUG